GCCCGGCUGGCUCAGUCUGUAGAGCAUAGGAUUGUUGAUCUUAGGGUUAUGAGUUCAAAUCCAUGUUGGAUG
Molecule: transfer RNA, 72 nt
Filed under: Canis lupus familiaris (dog)
Lineage: Eukaryota; Metazoa; Chordata; Mammalia; Carnivora; Canidae
Also listed under: 1 other name
Rfam family: tRNA
About the family: Transfer RNA (tRNA) molecules are approximately 80 nucleotides in length. Their secondary structure includes four short double-helical elements and three loops (D, anti-codon, and T loops). Further hydrogen bonds mediate the characteristic L-shaped molecular structure. tRNAs have two regions of fundamental functional importance: the anti-codon, which is responsible for specific mRNA codon recognition, and the 3' end, to which the tRNAs corresponding amino acid is attached (by aminoacyl-tRNA synthetases). tRNAs cope with the degeneracy of the genetic code in two manners: having more than one tRNA (with a specific anti-codon) for a particular amino acid; and 'wobble' base-pairing, i.e. permitting non-standard base-pairing at the 3rd anti-codon position.
Source: Rfam by way of RNAcentral